RNAcentral lists this ribosomal RNA (229 nucleotides) under uncultured bacterium. Its description in RNAcentral is "partial 16S ribosomal RNA". It matches the Rfam family "Bacterial small subunit ribosomal RNA", at positions 568 to 796 of the family's 1533-position model. The record is from RNAcentral.
CACGUAGGCGGGCUGUUAAGUUAGAGGUGAAAUCCCGGGGCUCAACCCCGGAACGGCCUUUAAUACUGGCAGUCUUGAGUUCGAGAGAGGUGAGUGGAACUCCGAGUGUAGAGGUGAAAUUCGUAGAUAUUCGGAAGAACACCAGUGGCGAAGGCGGCUCACUGGCUCGAUACUGACGCUGAGGUGCGAAAGUGUGGGGAGCAAACAGGAUUAGAUACCCUGGUAGUCC